Molecule: long non-coding RNA, 320 nt
Filed under: Hordeum vulgare
Lineage: Eukaryota; Viridiplantae; Streptophyta; Magnoliopsida; Poales; Poaceae
Description: long non-coding RNA (HVUL_LNC016504)
Source: RNAcentral
GGAUAAGGACUUGGGCACUCUGUGUGCCCUUGCCAUUGCAUUUGGUGCAUUGGUUUGAGUUCUCCAUGGUGAUACGUGGAGAUGAGAAGUUGAGAAGCUUAUUACCAUUGGGUACUUGGUACCCCUAGAAGCUUGGUGGUGCCUCGGAGCUCAAUCAUUGUGGUGUAAUGCUCCGGGAAAGCGUCAGGGUCUCCAAUCAAGUUGUGGAGAUUGCCCCGAGCAUUUUUGGUCACCUCGAAGCCAUAUGCCAUUGUGGUGAAGCUUCGUGGUGUUGUUGGGAGCCUCCAACUAAGUUGUGGAGAUUUCCCCAACCUUGUUUG